Molecule: long non-coding RNA, 677 nt
Organism: Pyrus x bretschneideri (Chinese white pear)
Lineage: Eukaryota; Viridiplantae; Streptophyta; Magnoliopsida; Rosales; Rosaceae
Exons: 3
Source: RefSeq, a predicted model, not a curated record
CAGGCCUGAAAUACAUGCCCGUUACGCCCUGGAGAAAAUCAGAAAAGUAAAGGUUCGGAUCUGAAUUUGUAAUGGCUGCUGCAGUAUUUCUUACGUUAGCAUGUUCUGGUUUAGGAGUAAUCUUUAAUAGCGCACUUGUUUUAAUAUAAUACUCUGCAUGGCUUUCUUUUUUAGGGGCUCCAAGCGCAUUUUAUGAGAGUGGUGGAGGCAUACCAAGUCAAUGCCUUGUGUUUUUUUGCUAGUAUGGCUUAUCUAACUUUUGAGGUAGCUGAACCCACGACUUACGAAAAGAAGCUUUACCAAGCAAUAGUUAUUGAGGCGAGUGGCAAAAAGGAAACGAUUUUGUUUGGUCUGGUCAAUUCUGAUGGCCGUUUGUCAAAAAUGCAUGACACCAGAGAGGGAGUCGAAUAUUCAGUCUAUAAUACCUGGCGAGAAGACGAUGAAGACGACGAGGAUGAUGAGGACGAUGAAGACAAUGAAGAAGACGAUGAAUGAUGGGGCACUAGUCUCAUUGACAAUAAGAGGCAACUGUUAUUGCAAUGGUUAAGAGAAUAUGGAAGGAGCCGGCCGGGGCGUGGCUACUGCAGGCUAGGGCAAUCCUAACAUGAAUGUGGAGAUUGAUUAGGCUUGAUUUGGAGACCGUAAAUUAUGUAACAUUUUUUACAUUUUUUUUUUCA